RNAcentral lists this ribosomal RNA (253 nucleotides) under uncultured bacterium. RNAcentral's name for it is "partial 16S ribosomal RNA". It matches the Rfam family "Bacterial small subunit ribosomal RNA", at positions 524 to 776 of the family's 1533-position model. The record is from RNAcentral.
UACAGAGGUCCCAAGCGUUGUUCGGAUUCAUUGGGCGUAAAGGGUGCGUAGGUGGCGCUGUAAGUCGGGUGUGAAAUUUCGGAGCUUAACUCCGAAACUGCAUUCGAUACUGCGGUGCUUGAGGACUGGAGAGGAGACUGGAAUUCAUGGUGUAGCAGUGAAAUGCGUAGAGAUCAUGAGGAAGACCAGUGGCGAAGGCGGGUCUCUGGACAGUUCCUGACGCUGAGGCGCGAAAGCCAGGGGAGCGAACGGG